This 460-nucleotide ribosomal RNA is filed under the name uncultured bacterium. Its description in RNAcentral is "partial 16S ribosomal RNA". It matches the Rfam family "Bacterial small subunit ribosomal RNA", at positions 338 to 795 of the family's 1533-position model. The record is from RNAcentral.
CCUACGGGUGGCAGCAGUGAGGAAUAUUGGUCAAUGGACGAGAGUCUGAACCAGCCAAGUAGCGUGAAGGAUGACUGCCCUAUGGGUUGUAAACUUCUUUUAUAUGGGAAUAAAAUGUUCCACGUGUGCCUUUUUGUAUGUACCAUAUGAAUAAGGAUCGGCUAACUCCGUGCCAGCAGCCGCGGUAAUACGGAGGAUCCGAGCGUUAUCCGGAUUUAUUGGGUUUAAAGGGAGCGUAGGUGGGUUGUUAAGUCAGUUGUGAAAGUUUGCGGCUCAACCGUAAAAUUGCAGUUGAAACUGGCAGUCUUGAGUACAGGAGAGGUGGGCGGAAUUCGUGGUGUAGCGGUGAAAUGCUUAGAUAUCACGAAGAACCCCGAUUGCGAAGGCAGCUUACUGGACUGCAACUGACAUUGAUGCUCGAAAGUGUGGGUAUCAAACAGGAUUAGAUACCCGGGUAGUC